AUUCUAGUAGGGAAGGGAGCCGUGGUGGUUAGGACAUCUGCUCCCUUCUCAGAGCCAGAGGAAGGAGUCCUGUGAUGCCUGAAACCUGGAUUUGGGGACCUUCUGGGGCAGCAAGCAGGUGAGCAUCCAGACCACCCAUGGUCUGUUGUCUAGAGCUAACAGGACAGGAACAGGCAAGCGUGAAGGACUCUCUCCGGCUCCCUCUCCAGGGUCAAUUCUCAGGUCCAGGCUAGCCCUUUCUCUCCUCUAGAGGAGGUUCUGAAGGCUGGAAUUUCCCCAAGAAAGAAAAAGGCAGAGGAAUUAAGUUCUCUCUAGACGGAACGGAGCCAUCUGGGGAGGCAGAGUGAAUCUGCAGAUGACCUGGGGGAAGUGGUCAGCUUGUCACCCCGGGGUGCCUGUCCCACUCUGCCUCCACUGUGGGAACCCUGUGCAGCUGCCAUUCGGAUUGCAUAGAUGGCAACAGCGGGCUGUGACCGACAAUUGCCGCCACCUGGGGUGUGCCCACAGCCUUGUUCCCAGAGCCACGGUUUCCAGUCCUUCUCUGCAUGAGGGCCCAACCCGAGGAGGCUGGGGUCUACAUAUUGUCAUUUAGGGGAGAGCCAGACUCUGGCAUGGGAGGAGAAGGCCUAGACUUCUCGGUUGUGACGAAAUGAACCUUGAGGCCUGGUUUUCUAGAAUAAUUUCUCAGUCAAGAGAGAGAAUGCAUCCUGAAGGAAGAUGCAUUACAGUUCCAACUCAUUACAGUUGGAAACUCCAAGUGUCCUCUACCAGCUGACAUCUCAGCCCUCCAUGCUCCAAAAUUCUUAUAACACUUGCCCCACACGCCCAGAUUCGGGCCUGGGCCUUGCUCCGACACCCCUGUAUGCCUACACCAUGCCUCCUGGGGAGAAACUUGCCCUUUCUACCGCUUUCACUUAUAAUGAUGAGGUAUAAAUGGCUCCACCUGGAUCUGCUACUAUUAAUAGCAACCUCUGCCACUCCCAGUCAAACAACCCCAGGCGCUGUCAAUGAAAGCCCCAGGCUUCACGAGAGUCACAGAAGACUGUACAGAUGUCAGACCAGCAAUCUACGCCCUUGUCGAGGUGGCCCCACACAGCUUCUCAUGGCAUCUCCGCUGCAGGGUCUCUGGACCUCAGGACCCUUCAGCCAGCUCUGCUCUCAGUUUCUGCACUACUCGGACAUUGUUCUCCCUCUGCCACUGAGGAUUUGUCUGUAUAACAGCCGAGUUUCCAGAAGUUCAUUCACUCAGGUGGUGAGGUGAAGCCUAGAGUUUUGAUGACUUGCUCAAAAAUCCUAGGAACCCCUGUGCUGCAGAAGCUCUUCUCCUCUGACCGUAACAAACCCUCAGGCCCUGCUUAAGUCUCAGCUCUUCCAUGUGGCCCCACAGGCCCUCGGCUUCCAUCUACCCCAUUAGCGACACUGCCAGGCAUCUUUCUGCAUCAAGUCAGAGCUCCAGGCUCCUGGCUGUGGCCGAAGCAGGGAAGCACAAAUGAGAAAGGCAUGAACUGAGAGUCCCAGUGGGGAAAUGACCGUGAAGCAGCUUCCUGGGGAUAGAGCCUGUUGGGCCUGUUCCUCUUCUCUGCUGUUGGUAGAAAAGCACUUCUGACCCACUGUUACCUCUGCUGAGGAUGUGGCCAAGAUAUUAACCUCAGCUCAUGCCCAGGGAGUGAAG
Molecule: long non-coding RNA, 1672 nt
Organism: Bos taurus (domestic cattle)
Lineage: Eukaryota; Metazoa; Chordata; Mammalia; Artiodactyla; Bovidae
Source: Ensembl